Molecule: long non-coding RNA, 147 nt
Organism: Etheostoma spectabile (orangethroat darter)
Lineage: Eukaryota; Metazoa; Chordata; Actinopteri; Perciformes; Percidae
Exons: 4
Source: RefSeq, a predicted model, not a curated record
GUCAGCGCCGAGCAGCGGAGAGGAAGUGGAUCCAUUUUUUAAAAACUAUAGACCCUACGGGUCUGAACGAAAAAUACUGAUAUGGGUCCACUUCUCUUUUAAAUCAAGUUUUUUUACCACAUAUUGUUUUGGAAUAUUUACCUCCCA